This 253-nucleotide ribosomal RNA is filed under the name uncultured bacterium. RNAcentral describes it as "partial 16S ribosomal RNA". It matches the Rfam family "Bacterial small subunit ribosomal RNA", at positions 524 to 776 of the family's 1533-position model. The record is from RNAcentral.
GACAGAGGAUGCAAGCGUUAUCCGGAAUGAUUGGGCGUAAAGCGUCUGUAGGUGGCUUUUUAAGUUCGCCGUCAAAUCCCAGGGCUCAACCCUGGACAGGUGGUGGAAACUACACAGCUAGAGUACGGUCGGGGUAGAAGGAAUUCCUGGUGUAGCGGUGAAAUGCGUAGAGAUCAGGAAGAACACCGGUGGCGAAAGCGUUCUGCUAGACCUGUACUGACACUGAGGGACGAAAGCUAGGGGAGCGAAUGGG